GAUGAACGCUGGCGGCGUGCCUAAUACAUGCAAGUCGAGCGAAUGGAUUAAGAGCUUGCUCUUAUGAAGUUAGCGGCGGACGGGUGAGUAACACGUGGGUAACCUGCCCAUAAGACUGGGAUAACUCCGGGAAACCGGGGCUAAUACCGGAUAACAUUUUGAACCGCAUGGUUCGAAAUUGAAAGGCGGCUUCGGCUGUCACUUAUGGAUGGACCCGCGUCGCAUUAGCUAGUUGGUGAGGUAACGGCUCACCAAGGCAACGAUGCGUAGCCGACCUGAGAGGGUGAUCGGACACACUGGGACUGACACACGGCCCAGACUACUACGGGAGGCAGCAGGAGGGAAUCUUCCGCAAUGGACGAAAGUCUGACGGAGCAAGGGCGCGUGAGGGAUGAAGGCUUUCGGGUCGUAAAACUCUGUUGUUAGGGAAGAACAAGUGCUAGUUGAAUAAGCUGGCACCUUGACGGUACCUAACCAGAAAGCCACGGCUAACUACGUGCCAGCCGCCGCGGUAA
RNAcentral lists this ribosomal RNA (515 nucleotides) under uncultured bacterium. Its description in RNAcentral is "partial 16S ribosomal RNA". It matches the Rfam family "Bacterial small subunit ribosomal RNA", at positions 28 to 523 of the family's 1533-position model. The record is from RNAcentral.